AGUGAACGCUGGCGGUAGGCCUAACACAUGCAAGUCGAACGGCAGCACAGUAAGAGCUUGCUCUUACGGGUGGCGAGUGGCGGACGGGUGAGGAAUACAUCGGAAUCUACUUUUUCGUGGGGGAUAACGUAGGGAAACUUACGCUAAUACCGCAUACGACCUACGGGUGAAAGCAGGGGAUCUUCGGACCUUGCGCGAUUGAAUGAGCCGAUGUCGGAUUAGCUAGUUGGCGGGGUAAAGGCCCACCAAGGCGACGAUCCGUAGCUGGUCUGAGAGGAUGAUCGGCCACACUGGAACUGAGACACGGUCCAGACUACUACGGGAGGGAGCAGUGGGGAAUAUUGGACAAUGGGCGCAAGCCUGAUCCAGCCAUACCGCGUGGGUGAAGAAGGCCUUGGGGUUGUAAAGCCCUUUUGUUGGGAAAGAAAAGCAGCAGGUUAAUACCCCGCUGUUCUGACGGUACCCAAAGAAUAAGCACCGGCUAACUUCGUG
RNAcentral lists this ribosomal RNA (492 nucleotides) under uncultured bacterium. RNAcentral's name for it is "partial 16S ribosomal RNA". It matches the Rfam family "Bacterial small subunit ribosomal RNA", at positions 29 to 507 of the family's 1533-position model. The record is from RNAcentral.